RNAcentral lists this transfer RNA (76 nucleotides) under Metaclostridioides mangenotii. RNAcentral's name for it is "tRNA-OTHER". It matches the Rfam family "tRNA". From Rfam's summary of the family: Transfer RNA (tRNA) molecules are approximately 80 nucleotides in length. Lineage: Bacteria; Bacillati; Bacillota; Clostridia; Peptostreptococcales; Peptostreptococcaceae. The record is from RNAcentral.
CACCUUGUAGCUCAGAUGGAUAGAGCAACCGCCUUUAUGUGGUAAGUCGUAGGUUCGAUUCCUACUAAGGUGGCCA